Molecule: long non-coding RNA, 1041 nt
Filed under: Anas platyrhynchos platyrhynchos (common mallard)
Lineage: Eukaryota; Metazoa; Chordata; Aves; Anseriformes; Anatidae
Description: lncRNA (ENSAPLG00000022915.1)
Source: RNAcentral
CCCCCUCGUUUUGGGGCUGGGCGCAGAGCGGUGGUGCCCCCAAAGCCCUCUGUGGGCAUUUUUGGGGUGGGACCAGGGGUCACCCACCCCCCCCAGCAGCAGGGCUGCUGCAGAGUGAGCAGUGGGGAGCGGGACCCCCCCCCCCCCCGCAGCCUGGGCAUCCCCCCGCAGCAGGAGGGAUUUGGGGAAGGAGAUAAAUACCAGAUGGCAGCGGGCCGGGCUGCCAGGAAGGCGCUCCCCGCGUGCCAAGAGCUGCUGGCACCAGGCGCCCCUGCACCCACAGACGGCUGCCGCAGUGCCCCCACCCCCCGGGGGGGCUGUGACACGUCCCCCCCACCUCCCCGGGGACACUGGGGCAGGACAGCGGUGCUGAGCCACCUCCCCGUGAUAUAUAGGGCCCGUGGGGACCCAGCUGGCACCCCCACACCAACCACAGCCCUACGGGCACCCACCUGUGCCCACCGCCCACUCUGUGCCCCCCCCAGGGCUGCCAGCAGGCCCCCCCCCCCCCCCCCCUCCUGUUGUCAUGGUGAUGGGACGGGGGUGGCAGACGGCGAUGGAGCGGGGGCACCCGGCAGGGAAGCUGGCCACCCCCGGGCUCCCCCCCGCCCCCAGCUCCCCGGGGGGGGAGGGUGGAUUGGGGAGAGCCCCACCCCCACCCCCCCCCCCCGCAUCACCAAGACCUCGGCCCCAGGUGGCUCAUGGGGGGGGAUGGGGUUGGUGCUGUCCCUUUUCCACCCACCCCAGUGGGGGAUUUGGGGUGGGAGCCCACCGGGGGGGGCCCUUUUUCCUCAUCUCACUGCCCCGAGCCCUUCACCACCCCCCAGGCUCCCCAGCACCACAAGUGCCCCCACCACCACAUCCGCUCCCCCAAAUUUGGGGACAAACAGCCCGCCAACCCCUACCCCUCGGCUACCAGAGAGCUGGAGGCACCUCCUGAUGUCCCAAGCCCCCCAGGUGACCUCCGGCAGCCCCCCCCCCCCCCCGGGGCCCCCCCCGGCCCCCCCCCCCCCCCGGUGGGGACACCCCCGGGUGCCGGUG